This is a long non-coding RNA of Rosa rugosa (rugosa rose), 2710 nucleotides long. RefSeq lists it as uncharacterized. The record is from RefSeq and is a predicted model, not a curated record. The transcript has 5 exons. NCBI's taxonomy places the organism in Eukaryota, Viridiplantae, Streptophyta, Magnoliopsida, Rosales, Rosaceae.
AAAAAAGAAUUCCAACGGCUUCGCUUGAUUGCAACGGCGUGGUUUUGCUGUCGCUAAAAACUGGCAAUUCCCUUCGGCAAAGUUAUGCCGUCGCAAGAUUUGCAACCGAGUUGAUGCGCCGUUGCAAUGGGGGUAGCCAAACACUAUGAUUCUACUUCAGCGAAGGAUAGCCGUCGCAAAAUAAUGAAAGUUUGCCACUGACUCUACAUGCCGUCGCACGAAUAAGCAACUAUGCUACCCCAUUCUUCUACUAGAUCUGUUUUCUAAUUUAAAAGCCCUAUUUCCCUCAACCCUUUUCCCCCACAACCCCUCUUUCUCUUUCUCUCUGAUCUCGAUGUCACCCACCAAAUUGAGCUUCGAUGAACUUGGUGGCCACUGGGUUGACUUGGAUUCGGGAAUUAUUCUUUUUGGGUAUCUCAAUUCAGUUCCCUCUCUUGUCGAACCCGAUUCAAUGCCCGUUUGAGUGUGACCCGGCCGUUUUGUGGUUGGAGUUGUGGUAUAGGUAGAGGAGCUUUCUGGGUUUGGUAUGAUUUUUGUUUUUCUGAUUUGGUGGUUCUAUGAUUUCGAUCUUGGUGGUUCUGUAGGGGAGAAUAAAUCAAGAACUGUGGAGGAACGAUGAUAUGGGCGGCUGUUUCUGCUCUUACUCCUUAUAGACCAAACCAAACCAUCUUCCUUGCUCGUCAAAACGAGGGUCGGCCGUCGGCCGAAGAUCAAGAUCAGAAAUUGGUUCGUCUUUCAUUUCAUAUCUCACAUUCAAAUGGGUUCUCUUGCCAUAUGUAUUCCAUUCGUUUUUCUCUUUGAUUUAUGUACCAUGGUCAAUCCAAGUUUAGCUCAUACUACGUGCUCAACCUAGUUUUCUAUGUACUUGGAUGGAACAAAUCUUACGAACCUAGUUCUACUGCUCUUUAUGGUUCUAAAAUUUUCAGCCUGUUGAAGUAAUAAAAUUGCUAAAGCAUACUGAUUGUUAUUGUUGGUGGGAAAUCUGAAACAACUUUUUGCAUUGUUGGAGACCUGAUUAUGCUGUCAAGUGUUUAUAGUAUCAUGCUGUCAUUUUUUAUUUUGAUGGGUGUGUGGUAUAAUUGUAGUCUUCAAGUGGGGUGAUUUAGUUUGUGGAUUUUAUUGUGCUGUGUUUACGUAGCUUUGUUGUUAUAUUUUGUUUCUUGGUGGCUACAGGCCCAAGGACUGAAGAAUCAUUUUACAUAUGCUUCUUGUUGGAGCUUCAUUCCCUUCUUGAUCUUUUAUAUACUCAAGGUUUGCAGCUUUUCCAAAGUGACCAGUGUUUGCUAUCCUCGACCAUUACUUCUUGCUUUUCAAUAAGUAAUCUUGAAUGAUAAGUAAUUCCUACAAACUAGUAGAAGCUAUUGCUAAUUGAUUAUUUACUUUGCUAUCGAAUCUUUUACAUUGUUACAAAACUAGCUCUUGAUUUUUGAUUGCUGGAAAUUUUAAGGUGCACAUGAGAAACCAUAUUGGUAGUCUUGCUCUCCUUCCAAAGUUUUGGUUGCUGCAACGAAGCUACAUAUAUAUUAUAGAUGUUUAUAUCAUGUGCAGCUUUGCUAUCGAAAUCUGAUUUUCUUUCUUUACAUGCAUGCUAUUAAGUUUUGAAACUACUUUUCAAUUAUGAGGUUACUUGGAAGCAAGGUUCCACUUUUUGAUUACUCAGUCGUUUCAUCUAUGAGUUAAUGAAUUCAGACUUAUACACCAAUUUGAUGGUGUAUUUCUGGGAAUAUAUUUAAACUGUUGUUAUGAUUUCAAUUUAAUCUUUAUAUAUAUGGCUGUUGAGUCCACUUCUUAUCACUUGAUUGUUGUUUAAUGGUGUUCAUAAUUCCUUGACAUUUCUUUCAAAAAGCUACAAGUUUUACUGUACUUCCAAGGUAUUGGAUUAUGAUUUUAAUGAACUUUUCUGCUGCUGAUUCAUUGUUAGUCCAAUUUUUCUCCAUUGGUCAUUGGUAUGAUAAUUGAAAAAUGGCUAUGUCCUGCACGGAUGGUAAAGGAGUAAUGAAUAAUGGCAAGUAUGUGAGGUACAAACCUGAGCAGGUUGUUGAAGCCCUUGAGAGGUUUUAUCAUGAAUGCCCCAAACCCAGUUCGAUUCGUCGCCAACAGCUCAUUAAGGAGUACCCAAUUCUCUCUAACAUUGAGCCUAGCCAAAUCAAAGUUUGGUUCCAGAACAGAAGAUGCAAAGAAACUAACAUGGAGGGAUCCACUUUGAAGUGUUUGGCAAUUAUUUUUGUUCAUUACAAGUGUUUGGCUUGUUGAUUACUUUGGUGUGAUUAUCAAAUUUAUUCCUGUAUGUAUAUCAAAGCUAACCUGGAGAUAUCCACUUGAAGGUGCAUGUGUACAUCAAGUGGUGUGCGACUAAAAAAGACAUCGACCAAUUUGCUCAGGAACUAAUUGCAACGGUCUUCAUGAUAAUGAACGGAAAUUCAGACAUAUAUUUCGAGGAGACUUGUAGCAACACUAAAGUAAUUGGUACGUGAAGUAGAUCAAGGAAGAUCCGUGCAAAGUUUAUCUUGAAGUAGAGGAAGAUAACUACCUUGUAAAAGUUAAUUAUCUUGUAAACUUUGGUAGAAGCAUCAUUCCUUUGUGACAUCCAUGACAAAAAUUAAAAUGUAACACUUUUUUUAUAUAAGCUUCAUUCCUUUUUGUAUAGCUUGUAUUAAAAAAACAAAACAAAAAAAAUUGGCAUGCAUAUUUGCAUGCCAGAUUUUUUUUA